UUUCCGUAGAUGAACCUGCGGAAGGAUCAUUAAAGAGUAAGGGUCUUCGGGCCCGAUCUCCAACCCUUUGUUUAACUACCAUGUUGCUUUGGCGGGCCCGUCUCACGACCGCCGGAAGUUUGGCUUCGACCAAACUUCUGGCCCGUGCCCGUCAGUGGCCCCUUCAAAUUCUUGAUCAAGUAUGAUGUCUUAGUUAAAAACUUAAUAGUUAAAACUUUCAACAACGGAUCUCUUGGUUCUG
This 241-nucleotide unclassified non-coding RNA is filed under the name plant metagenome. RNAcentral's name for it is "partial contains small subunit ribosomal RNA, internal transcribed spacer 1, and 5.8S ribosomal RNA". The record is from RNAcentral.